Molecule: ribosomal RNA, 251 nt
Filed under: uncultured bacterium
Lineage: Bacteria
Description: partial 16S ribosomal RNA
Rfam family: Bacterial small subunit ribosomal RNA
Source: RNAcentral
CAACAUCGCGAGGUGAAGCAAAUCCCCAAAAAAGUGUCUCAGUUCAGAUUGUAGGCUGCAACUCGCCUACAUGAAGUCGGAAUUGCUAGUAAUCGCGGAUCAGCAUGCCGCGGUGAAUACGUUCCCGGGCCUUGUACACACCGCCCGUCACACCAUGAGAGCCGGUAACACCCGAAGUCAGUAGCCUAACCGCAAGGGGGGCGCUGCCGAAGGUGGGAUUGGUAAUUGGGGUGAAGUCGUAACAAGGUAGC